This is a long non-coding RNA of Bactrocera neohumeralis, 396 nucleotides long. RefSeq lists it as uncharacterized. The transcript is spliced from 4 exons. The record is from RefSeq and is a predicted model, not a curated record. Lineage: Eukaryota; Metazoa; Arthropoda; Insecta; Diptera; Tephritidae.
AAUUGCAAACUUUCAGAGCUUUAGAACUAUUCGUUGUGAGCGCUAACUAAUAUUUAAGUUGUCAUAACUCAUGUGUUGUAAAUCAAAAGGAUUAUGUUUUAAUGUUAUCGCGUUAAUCGGAUUUGUGGGUCAAGUUGAAAAUAUUGCUUUGAAUGAUGUUUGCGUAGAUAUUUGGUCAAAGUUCUGUCACACAAAUGGAAAUAUUAAAAUUUUAAUACGAAAAUUGACAUCAAAGUGAAUCAAGAUUGAAGUUUUCAUUGACAACAAGAACAAAAAUUGUUAACGGAUAUGUAAAGCCGUAUAUAGCCAAUAAGGCGCCUCAAGCCUAUCAACGAAGACAACAUCAACGUCAGGAACCUCAAAAACAAAAUGUCACUGCAAAUAAGCAUAAAAAAG